Molecule: ribosomal RNA, 578 nt
Filed under: Cladosporium sp.
Lineage: Eukaryota; Fungi; Ascomycota; Dothideomycetes; Cladosporiales; Cladosporiaceae
Description: partial large subunit ribosomal RNA
Rfam family: Eukaryotic large subunit ribosomal RNA
Source: RNAcentral
CGGCGAGUGAAGCAGCAAUAGCUCAAAUUUGAAAUCUGGCGUCUUCGACGUCCGAGUUGUAAUUUGUAGAGGAUGCUUCUGAGUAACCACCGACCUAAGUUCCUUGGAACAGGACGUCAUAGAGGGUGAGAAUCCCGUAUGCGGUCGGAAAGGUGCUCUAUACGUAGCUCCUUCGACGAGUCGAGUUGUUUGGGAAUGCAGCUCUAAAUGGGAGGUAAAUUUCUUCUAAAGCUAAAUAUUGGCCAGAGACCGAUAGCGCACAAGUAGAGUGAUCGAAAGAUGAAAAGCACUUUGGAAAGAGAGUUAAAAAGCACGUGAAAUUGUUAAAAGGGAAGGGAUUGCAACCAGACUUGCUCGCGGUGUUCCGCCGGUCUUCUGACCGGUCUACUCGCCGCGUUGCAGGCCAGCAUCGUCUGGUGCCGCUGGAUAAGACUUGAGGAAUGUAGCUCCCUCGGGAGUGUUAUAGCCUCUUGUGAUGCAGCGAGCGCCGGGCGAGGUCCGCGCUUCGGCUAGGAUGCUGGCGUAAUGGUCGUAAUCCGCCCGUCUUGAAACACGGACCAAGGAGUCUAACAUCUAUG